Molecule: long non-coding RNA, 485 nt
Organism: Haliotis rubra (blacklip abalone)
Lineage: Eukaryota; Metazoa; Mollusca; Gastropoda; Lepetellida; Haliotidae
Exons: 4
Source: RefSeq, a predicted model, not a curated record
GUUACUGUUCUUGUCUGCAAGGACGUAAAAGAAAACCAGGACAGAAGAUGUGGUGAAUAUCUUACUGUGAUGGCAGACAGAUUGUCCCGUGACUUCAGUGAUGUACCUUGUGCUUCCAACAACGACGGGGAUGUCUUACCCCUACAUGAUUACGAGCGACUCCUGAGGGAACAGUUCCACAUCUACACGUCUCUCCACCCUUCAACUUCCUAACUGAGGACCACAGCACAAGGUGAAGCUAAAACUGACGGUACAGUUCCUCAUCUACGUCUCUCCACUCUUCAUCGUCCCCCACAGAGGACCACAGCACCAGGUGAAGCCUAUACUGACGAUACUGUUCCUCAUCUACACGUCUCUCAACCCUUCAUCGUCCCCCACAGAGGACCACAGUACCAGGUGAAGCCAAAACUGACGGUACAGUUCCUCAUCUACACGUCUCUCAACUCUUCAUCGUCCUCCAUCGAAGACCACAGUACCAGGUGAAG